CAUGACUGGUUGAGGUUCACUGGCGAUAAUAAGGAGAGAGGCGGCGACUGAAGACUGAACAGACCGGUCGGUCACUGCAGGUGGCGGCGUGGGGACGUUUUUGGACGUUCCCCGUGUUUUUUCACCCCGCAGACAUGGCUGAAUACAGCCAGGCGGGGAUAUUAACGGCGUUGCUGCUGUUUACCGUGGUGACGGUGCGGGAUAUUUACCUCGGCCGGAGCGCGGUGGAGCAGCAGCCCGAGCAGCAGCAGGCCGCGGCGGAAAGCUCGGGGCCGGGGGGCUUUCUCAACCCAGACCCGCUCACUCAGCGGCAGAGCAAGGCCAAGUUUUACACCGGCCCGCUCCUGAAGUUCCAGUACUGUAUAUCCUGAGGGUACAGUAAGGUGUUCCAGGAGUACUCUCGGUCUAUUAGCCAGCUGUACCCGGACAUCAGAAUUGAGGGAGAGAAUUACCCUCCAAAACCUCUCAAUAAAUACGCUGCAAAUUUCAUCUCCUACUUCAAACUGCUUGCCAUUGCACUCGUCGUCACGGGACAAAAUCCUUUUCAAAUGCUUGGAAUGGAAACACCAAGGAUUUGGUCCUGGGGUCAAGAAAAUAAAAUUUUCUCAUGUUUAAUGGCAUUCUUCCUCAGUAAUAUGUUGGAGACACAUUUCCUGUCUACAGGGGCAUUUGAGAUAACGUUAAAUGAUGUUCCCAUUUGGUCAAAGCUGCAGUCAGGAUAUGUACCAAACAUUCAGGAGCUCUUCAACAUCCUGGACAACCACCUCAAAAUGAAUCAAGUUGACAAGCUCAAAUUCUCCACUCCAUAGUGCUGUUAAAACUGAGAGAGAAAUACUGCAGGGCAAUGGAGUUCAGUAGUCAGGUUCAGGAGCAGUUUCUCUGGUCAGUGGGACUGUGGACUGUGGCCUAAUGAAGGCCUGCACUAAAAACAGGUCGCUGUGAGUGCAGACUGGAUAUCCCUGCCACCACACACACUUCCUCUGCCCAGCUACACUCCUCCAGAUAGACUGUCUCAAAAGAGCAGUGUACUGUAUGCAUACUGUAUCCAUUGUUGGAGAAUUGGGAAAAUUGGGCAGACUAUUUGUAUCAGAUCAGUACUAAAAGGACAGAAUGACCAAGUGGUCAGAAUAUUGCUGUUGUCUGUCUGUUAAACUCAAGGACAUGGUUUUUUUUUUUUUUUUUUUCUUUUGUUUUUUUUUUUUAAAUCUGCAAAUUAAAUAAAUGGUCUUAAACAUGGUAAUUGGUUUGCACUGCUGUAGAACUGUUUGGAAUAAGUGUUUUCAGGCUGUGUGUCCUGAUAAAGGUGCAUUUUGUUGAGCACACUUAAGGCAAAAUGCUUAGAUGUGUUAUUUUAUGUCUUAGCACUGAGCUGCUGCUCAACGGGGGGAUUACAUUGGGUAAGUGACAUUGUUUGGGAUCUUCAACCUCAUUCUUCCUCUUAACUCUUUAAGCUAUUUGUUUUAUAGCAUUAUCUGCUAACAAUCUGUCAUGAAUUGAAUGAUUGUUUGAGCGUGACCACUGUCUUAAUGAGUGUGUGAUUGAGAACACUGCAUAUCUGAGGUUAGAUGUGAAUGGUACUCUUCUUUCCAAAGACUUUCUCUAUUUUUCCAUCUCUCCUUUUAAAUGUGGUGAUGAGAAAGGCACCUCCUCUAUUUUAAUGUACCUUGCUGUGAUUUUUUUUUUUUUUUUUUAAUUGAAGGUGACAGUUUGUUGCGAUUCAGCUAGAGAAAGUACAUCAUUGUUUCAAAAUAAUGUGAAAAAAUAAAGGUUACAAUAAAACUUA
This is an RNA transcript of Astyanax mexicanus (Mexican tetra), 1783 nucleotides long. It is a transcript of the gene named selenoprotein T, 2, with no coding region annotated. The record is from RefSeq and is a predicted model, not a curated record. The transcript is spliced from 7 exons. Lineage: Eukaryota; Metazoa; Chordata; Actinopteri; Characiformes; Acestrorhamphidae.